AUGGCUUUUUGCGCAUAUAGAAUAAAAGGUCCAACCUGCCCAGUGACAUUAGUUUAACGGCCGCGGUAUUUUAACCGUGCUAAGGUAGCGUAAUCACUUGUCUUUUAAAUGAAGACCCGUAUGAAAGGCGUCACGAGGGCCCUACUGUCUCCUUUUUUAAGUCUAUGAAAUUGAUCUACCCGUGCAGAAGCGAGUAUAAACACAUAAGACGAGAAGACCCUGUGGAGCUUAAGAUAAAUAACUAACUGUGCCUAGCAACUCCCAUAAGCAGCAUAUAAGCAUAACAGUCCUAGUUAAAGUAUCUUCGGUUGGGGCGACCAUGGGGGAUAAAAAAGCCUCCAAGAAGAACCAGGGGGUAAGUCCAACCAACCCCUAAGAGCCAAGAGCUACAGCUCAAAGCAACAGAAAAUUCUGACUAAUAAUGACCCGAGCAACGCUCGAUCAACGAACCAAGUUACCCCAGGGAUAACAGCGCAAUCCUUUCCAAGAGCCCAUAUCGCCGAAAGGGUUUACGACCUCGAUGUUGGAUCAGGACAUCCUAGUGGCGAAAAUUCUACUAAGGGUUCGUUUGUUCAACGAUUAAAGUCCUACGUGA
This 595-nucleotide ribosomal RNA is filed under the name Arapaima gigas (arapaima). Its description in RNAcentral is "partial 16S ribosomal RNA". It matches the Rfam family "Bacterial large subunit ribosomal RNA", at positions 1815 to 2603 of the family's 2925-position model. The record is from RNAcentral. Lineage: Eukaryota; Metazoa; Chordata; Actinopteri; Osteoglossiformes; Osteoglossidae.